Podarcis lilfordi (Lilford's wall lizard) is the source of this 68-nucleotide non-coding RNA. NCBI's taxonomy places the organism in Eukaryota, Metazoa, Chordata, Lepidosauria, Squamata, Lacertidae. The record is from the annotation of a GenBank genome assembly.
UCAUAGCUCAGUGGCAAAGCAUCUGCUUUGAAUGCAGAAGGUGCCAGGUUCAAUCCCAAGCACCUCAA